AACCAGCUGGCUGCAAAGGAAGCAGAAUCAUUGCAUUCGGGUGGUGGCAUUUAGACACUUAGCUCAAGCCAGCACAGAGGAAAGUCUGCUUGAGAGAAAUCAUCUGACCUGGCUCUGGAGAUAUUUCUGGAAAAAUGGCCAAGUUCCUACCAGUUCUGCUGUUUGCAUCCCAGCUUUCCUUGACAGCAGGCAACCAUGAUAGCAGGUUUCUGAGCUGGGAAGACCAUCCUUGGCAUUCCUGAGACCUUCACUAUGCAGUCUGAAUGCCAAAUGCUGCCCCAUGCCCCAAUUCAUGCUAUUGAAGAUUUCCAUUUCUAAAAGUACAGAUUUUUUUAGAAUCUUCUUCUUGAUCUUCGCAGACCCUUCAAAUUAGCAUAACAUGUGUUUUAGUAAUCAUAACUAGAAGAAAAGUGUUACCAACUGCACUAUCAGUUUCCUGUAACAUUUGCC
This 450-nucleotide long non-coding RNA is filed under the name Naja naja (Indian cobra). RNAcentral describes it as "lncRNA (ENSNNAG00000015289.1)". The record is from RNAcentral. Lineage: Eukaryota; Metazoa; Chordata; Lepidosauria; Squamata; Elapidae.